CCCUUUAGUUACAGGAGUAGGGCUUCCACUCCUGCUGUCUUUGGGAGCUUCACCUUACUCUGCCCACACCCUGGAGAUGGCAAACCCCCACCGUCGUUAACCCCCAGUGUGCCAUCUGUUUCUGGCCGACACCCUUACUUGCGCCCUGAAUACAGAAGGUUCUUUUUUGCCCCAGUAGGGGAAGGGGUCAGGUUAUACCAGGGCCAUUUCCAUGGUCGGGAACUGAAGAUGGACCAGGCCCACAGAAAGUGGUGAGUAGAGCAUCUCAGGGGGCAGAAUGCAGUGGGGGAAAAUAACUCUCAGGCUGCCUCCUUGGUUUGGGGAUCAUUUCCUUGGAGUCCCCCUUCAGUAGUUCAGUCCCUUUUGGAAUUCCUAGUGUGCUUCACGAAGGAACCCAGGGGUGGGAUUUGGGUCCACGCUUCAGACAGAGCACAAAGGGAGCACAGUGCCCCCUAGGGGCUGUUGUGAGGGUGGCAGCCACGGGAACUGGACCAUCCCAUGAAGAGGAAGGGGAAGGAAGGGGAACGGAGUCGGGGGAGGCGGCACAGAGGGGGCGCAGAAUCUAGAGCACUGGGCUCAGCUGCCUCCCUCACCAGGAGCAGCUCCUCCUGGGAGAAGGUGCCGUGUUGUGGGCUGGAUUCUGGGCGUUUUCUACCAUAAUGCUAUGUCACGGGCAGGAUCUGCUAUACAAGUAGAUGGGCCCGGCGCAAAAUAAAAAUACAGGGUCCCAUGUUCAGAAAUUAUUAAGAAUUUCAAGAUGAUGACCCCAGAGUAUUAAACUAAGCCGGGUGGGGAAUCUGAGCUUGGGGACCCAUGACACACACCCAUGAGUCUGGUUCUGGCCACAGGUUCUCCCCUGAGGACACUGUGGGUGGGAUCCCUCCCCUGGGUGCCCCAUCCCCAGGAGCAACGACAGGGAGGUUGAACACAGAGACAGAGGCAUCAUGUGGUGACAGGCUUUACAGUCUGGCUACCCUGUGUAACUUGAAAACAUACCCGUAUUAGGACUAAUGCCUCCCUAGGCCCUUUCUGGCCAAUCAUGUUGGCAGAACACCAGGGAAGGAUAAAAUUCCUAUCUGUGGGUAGAGAGAGAUGGGCUGAGGCCCGAGGGCCGGGCAGUGGGACUUGAGGGUCCUGUGGGGUCAGGAGUUGGAUGUGGUCUCAAGGUGUCUGCCUCGUUCCCCUCCCUCCUCUGUGGAGCAGAAGGCAGGAGAAGGAGCGUGGCUGAGAGAGGAUGCAUUUUGGGGUGACUCUGUCCCAUGUCUGUUUUCCUGGGCUGGAGACUCUCGUGAUCAUGAAGAAAGCAAAUAAACACAGAAUCUUAAGGCCAGAAAGUCUGUCUUUCUUCAGAACUCUCUUGUGAGUCUUGCCUAUAAUUAGAAAGAAAUGGGGAGAAUAAAAAAGCUCCGAUUUCCAGCAGCCUCGGCUACGCAAGGGCCAUGUUAACAGAUGUUAAAGGAUGACAGCCUUAUUCUUAUAAAAAAGAUCUUUAGGGAGUGGCCCAAAAUAACUUUCCCCUUCCAGGUCAGGAUGUGUGAAUGUGUGUGUAUCUAUGCAUAUGUCUGUGUGAUGUACUGCACGUAUGUGCACACACUUGUGUGUGUGAGUGGCAGUGUAAGCCUUGCCUGUGUGUUUACACAGAAGGUGCAAACGCAUGCCCGUCUGUUAAAUGUGUGUGCAGCAGUUGUAAAGAUUGUGUGAGUGUUCAGACACUUGUGAGGGUCUGUGCGUGAGUAGGUCCUGGAGUCUACAGUCUUUAUAGCCCGCCUCGGUCAGCUUCGUUUGUUGUAAAGGGAGCUGCUCAGCCAGCUCAGGGAAAAGAAGACUCACUAGGGUGUGCCCAUGUUGGGUCUGGGAUGAGCAGGAAACCCAGGCCACUCCAGGGCUGUCUGUCAUCCCUGUCCCUGUCAUGUUCCAGCUUCCUCAGGAUGGGGCUGCUGCCUCUGCUCAUCAGCCCCGUUAUCGUCUCAGCUCAGCUGUGGUUUUUCCUCCUCGCGACCUCAGCAUGCACACGGCUGUGGCUCACCUGGCCCUCCGGGGCCUUGCUCAUCCCCGUGACGCAUCCCCAUGAUGGCCACGGCUCCUGGACUUCUGCACUGGCUGGUUCUUUACAUGAAGGCCAGAACUGGGGCUGCCCUCAACAGCCAGGACUUGCCGGGCAAGGAAAUUAGGACGCAGAGGCAGACGUGCACAGAGGGAAGCACGGGGAGCUGACGGCCAUCUACAAGCCAAGGGACGCCUGUGGCUACCGGGAGCUCAGAGAGAUGCCUGGGAGAGGUCUUCCCUCACAGCCCGCAGAAGGAACCAACCCUGCCGCCGCCUUGAUUUCGGGAUCCUGGCCUUCAGCACCGGGAGAGAAGGAAUUUCUUGUUGUUUAAGCCCCCCAGUCUGGGGCACUUUGCUACGGCAGCACCAGGAAACUUAAUAUAUGGGAUUCAUGGAAGGAGCCAACUGCUCUUAGCAACUGGCUGGGGCAUUGGCUGUAGGCAAGUGUCUGCUGGGGGUCUGAGCAGUGACAGAGCUGGGAGGUGAAGGAGGUGACUCCAGGAGAGGGCAG
Molecule: non-coding RNA, 2557 nt
Organism: Equus caballus (horse)
Lineage: Eukaryota; Metazoa; Chordata; Mammalia; Perissodactyla; Equidae
Source: RefSeq, a predicted model, not a curated record